AUGGAGCAUCCCCGAAAAUCCUAAACAGAGUAGGGA
This 36-nucleotide non-coding RNA is filed under the name unclassified sequences. Its description in RNAcentral is "DUF805b RNA". It matches the Rfam family "DUF805b RNA". Rfam says of the family: Bacteroidetes, Chlorobi (1 example), Proteobacteria. Lineage (Flavobacteria) The record is from RNAcentral.